Long non-coding RNA from Zeugodacus cucurbitae (melon fly), 1628 nucleotides. RefSeq lists it as uncharacterized. Lineage: Eukaryota; Metazoa; Arthropoda; Insecta; Diptera; Tephritidae. The record is from RefSeq and is a predicted model, not a curated record. The transcript is spliced from 3 exons.
GAGCUAAAGCGCAGAUAACUCUCCUUGUACAUCCAAACGACCAACGGUUGCACGUUGGUGAUGAGAAACCACUGGCGUAUAUCGAACUUUGUGUGGUGUAUAAUCAAGGGACGUUCUGCAAGAGAGAGUUGUGGAAAAUUUCCAAAUUUGAAUUACGCAAAUAUUUAUCUAUGGUCCAGCAGUAUGAAUCACUGGCAAUAACGGAUAUUCCCCCACAUGAAAAUAUAAUCGGAUAUGCGUAGAUCUACACAACCAACACCUAGAACCUGACGUACUACGCUAAUUAAAUGUGCCUGAUUCCAUUCAUUGGUCGGGCCAUUUAGUAUUUACCUUUAAAAUCAUAAACAAUCGUAUCUAAACAAAUCGAUUUUAUGAAUAAUACAAAUCCAUCAGCGGACAGUUCAAAAAUGGACAAUUCGAAUUAAGACGAAUUUGCCGCAAUUCACAAAAUUAACGGCAUUAAACAUACACACCUACAAGCAAAACACAUGCGCAUUUGUUGCUUCCGGCUUUCGAAAUCAGCAAUGUAAACAAAACGAAGAAAAGUCGAUGGCAAAAAACGGAACGAAAGACGAGGCAAUACAUAAUAAUAUUAAAUCUGAGAGAGCAUAUUGAAAGCGGAAAGCAAUUUGUGGUGAAGAAAUGCUAUUUUCGCCGCGAAAACAGAGACAGAAGAGAGCGCGCCGCCAAAAUGAGCAAAUAAGUAGAAAGAGAGAGUAUAAGCGCAUAAUAGAGUAGUGAGAAGUGUAAAUAAAAGAAAGCUAGUUGAAAUGCUAGCCGGUGUGAGGCGAAAGCUUAGAAACAGCUGAUGACGCGUUGUAAACAAAUAAAAAGUUACACAUACGCCGUGUGCAUGCGCUCACAUGGACUGACAGCUGGUGGUUAUGUAUUUGGAUGUGUGUUUGAAUGAAAUGUGUGUGCUAAACAAGAAUUUAUGUUUGCUUUGGAGAGCAAUUAUUUAUGGGAGUGCGCCCUCUGACAUACUCAAUCUCACAUUCUCUCAAUUUUUAUGCUUUCAACGCGCUCUGGCUCUCAGCGUCGCGCUAUAUUCGCUCGUUUGUAUUAUUUAUUUACGCCACGUGCUCGUGGCGUACUUCACUCGGCUGUCAUGCCUUUCACAUGACUUCGGGCAACGGCGCGACGAGCGCAUUUAACGCGCCUAAAAGUUGGCAUUGAUUUCAUACGCUCCACACCGACACACACACACACACACACUUGUUAAGCACCUAUUGUAGUUGUUUUUGGGUAGCAGCGUGAAAGGCGCGUCGUUUGUUGCUAUACGCUGCGCUGGAGGAGCGCACACACCACCGAAGGACAGCCGUUAUGUGUACAAUUGAAGCUUUGGCAGUCAGCUUAGCCUUGUCGAACGCGGCGAAUGCCCGUCAGUGUUGCUGCAACAGCGAGUUGUGCAAAAGCUGCAGCAGUCAAAGUGUAAACGCUAAGUGAAGUGGAGACAAGUUUGCAGUGGAAAUUAAAUAAUUUUAUAAGUGAGUGGAAAAAAUUAAUAAAAUGUUGUAAUGUUGUUGUUGCUAAUAUAUUUUGCAUAGCAGAAAAGUUAGAAGCGUGCGUUUAAAAAGUGCCUUGGCUAUUAGCAAUAAAAGUAAAUGAAAGGAGUUGGGCAGCAAAGA